GCUGAAAAGACAGUUUGUUACUCACACUUCCCAAGAAGAGGAGGAGGCAUACCUUGCCCUGCAGUUAUGCCUUUGCAGGCGCUGCAUCAGAUCUUAUUUGGAGGAAGACCCCCCUGCGCCUGGGAGGAUAUUCAGGUUGUCAGGCUGUCCACAGCCUCCCCCAGGCCUGGGGAACUGACGUACACUGCGCAUGCACGUCCCGUGGUUGCGAGCCCCGGAUCUCAAAACAGUUCCAAGCCCACGAAAGGCAGAAUCGCUGAUUAAGCUCUUGAGGACCCAGGGAUCUUAAAGGAUCGAAUUCCAAGCCAUAAUCUCACUAUGGAGCCUGUUCACCCCUCAGGUAGAUCGGGGAGAACUUGAAUCUCUUGCCUCUGCUUGGCAGGGCGGGGCUGCUGAGGAGAAGGCUCCAAAAAGAGACAUUUGGGAGCGGUGGUUGAUCCAGCAGCACUAGCGGCAGCCAUGAGCCUGGAGCACGCGGGUGCACUGCGCAUGCGGUUCCGUUCGUGGGGUCUCCGGAGGGAAAGGAAUUGUGGACCAGCGGGCACCCGUAGCUCGUCAGGACCCGGCGCACUCUCGUGGGUUCUCGAGGGAAGCCAGGCAUCUGCCCAGGUCGGAGACCACACGUGCAUAAAGGCUCCUGUUCCUCAUGAGCCAGAUUGUUUCUGUUAUGCUGAUUUUGGAUUCCACUGUGGCCUAACCCAGCGCUGAAAACGUAAUGCCAGUUCUCAUUUAUCUCCCAUGCUGGUGAAGAGUAGACAGGGCCACAUCGCUGCUCUGGCUUCUGCUUACACAAGUGCUACCACGCUCCACGAAACCCUGUCCUGCUCUCUGUCACUUCCUUCUGAGCCAUCUCUACCUGCCACUGCUGCCGCCCUGAUGCUCAGCUCAGCUCCUCUUCCAUUCCAGCGGAGGGACAGCCUCCUAGAGCACGUCACUCAUCCCUGACAUUCACCGCAGCCCCUGCUGCUCUUGGAGUGCUGGACGGUCUUGCUGAAGCAGCUCCCCUGCUGUAUCUUAUGAAGGACCCACACCAGGGUUACUGGAGCAUUGAGUCAUUCCAGAAGUUUGUGUCUAGCACUUCUGAGUUUUCUCCAAAGCUGUUUCCUUCCAAGGUGCUGAUGUGCCUUUGAGCGUUACCCAGAACACUUGAUUCUUCCUGAUUCUCAGCUUCUUUUGCUAGGAGUGCUCAUCAUGCCAGAUCCCGUAUUCCCAUAUGACACAUUUUUUCUCAGAGACUCAAUAGUGUCCUCAGGCAAUUUGGCUUCUGAAUGACUCCUUCAUUUUUCCAGGCAUUUAUAAAUAUAUCUGAAUCCCAAGUGUGACGUUAUGUGAGUCACUUUCCAAAAGAACUUUUAAACCCAGUAAUAUGCUGGCAGAUGUUUAAUAACCAGCAAGCUAAAG
This 1401-nucleotide long non-coding RNA is filed under the name Mustela putorius furo (domestic ferret). RNAcentral's name for it is "lncRNA (ENSMPUG00000030954.1)". The record is from RNAcentral. Lineage: Eukaryota; Metazoa; Chordata; Mammalia; Carnivora; Mustelidae.